AGUGAACGCUGGCGGUAGGCCUAACACAUGCAAGUCGAACGGCAGCACAGUAAGAGCUUGCUCUUACGGGUGACGAGUGGCGGACGGGUGAGGAAUACAUCGGAAUCUACUUUUUCGUGGGGGAUAACGCAGGGAAACUUACGCUAAUACCGCAUACGACCUACGGGUGAAAGCAGGGGAUCUUCGGACCUUGCGCGAUUGAAUGAGCCGAUGUCGGGUUAGCUAGGUGGCGGGGUAAAGGCCCACCAAGGCGACGAUCCGUAGCUGGUCUGAGAGGAUGAUCAGCCACACUGGAACUGAGACACGGUCCAGACUCCUACGGGAGGCAGCAGUGGGGAAUAUUGGACAAUGGGCGCAAGCCUGAUCCAGCCAUGCCGCGUGUGUGAAGAAGGCCUUCGGGUCGUAAAGCCCUUUUGUUGGGAAAGAAAAGCAGCAGGUUAAUACCCCGCUGUUCUGACGGUACCCAAAGAAUAAGCACCGGCUAACUUCGUG
RNAcentral lists this ribosomal RNA (492 nucleotides) under uncultured bacterium. RNAcentral's name for it is "partial 16S ribosomal RNA". It matches the Rfam family "Bacterial small subunit ribosomal RNA", at positions 29 to 507 of the family's 1533-position model. The record is from RNAcentral.